UCCCUGGAGGACUAGCGGUUUGACCUCGGCACUUUCGCCGCGGAGGCUCAGGUUCGAUUCCCUGCCAGGGAA
Molecule: non-coding RNA, 72 nt
Organism: Pangasius djambal
Lineage: Eukaryota; Metazoa; Chordata; Actinopteri; Siluriformes; Pangasiidae
Source: the annotation of a GenBank genome assembly